RNAcentral lists this ribosomal RNA (253 nucleotides) under uncultured bacterium. Its description in RNAcentral is "partial 16S ribosomal RNA". It matches the Rfam family "Bacterial small subunit ribosomal RNA", at positions 524 to 776 of the family's 1533-position model. The record is from RNAcentral.
UACGUAGGGUGCGAGCGUUAAUCGGAAUUACUGGGCGUAAAGCGUGCGCAGGCGGUUCUGUAAGCCAGAUGUGAAAGCCCCGGGCUUAACCUGGGAAUGGCAUUUGGGACUGCAAGGCUAGAGUGUGGCAGAGGAGACUGGAAUUCCUGGUGUAGCAGUGAAAUGCGUAGAUAUCAGGAGGAAUACCGAUGGCGAAGGCAGGUCUCUGGGUUAACACUGACGCUCAUGCACGAAAGCGUGGGGAGCAAACAGG